CCAGGUCUGGACCGGUUAAAUCCC
Molecule: non-coding RNA, 24 nt
Filed under: Arabidopsis thaliana (thale cress)
Lineage: Eukaryota; Viridiplantae; Streptophyta; Magnoliopsida; Brassicales; Brassicaceae
Source: RNAcentral